RNAcentral lists this ribosomal RNA (1017 nucleotides) under uncultured bacterium. RNAcentral's name for it is "bacterial SSU rRNA". It matches the Rfam family "Bacterial small subunit ribosomal RNA", at positions 335 to 1341 of the family's 1533-position model. The record is from RNAcentral.
ACUCCUACGGGAGGCAGCAGUGGGGAAUUUUGGGCAAUGGGCGAAAGCCUGACCCAGCAACGCCGCGUGAAGGAUGAAAUCCUUUGGGAUGUAAACUUCGCAAGAACGGGAAGAAUAAGUAAGAGUUAAUAUCUCUUAUGAUGACGGUACUGUUUGUAAGCUCCGGCUAACUCCGUGCCAGCAGCCGCGGUAAUACGGGGGGAGCAAGCGUUGUUCGGAUUUACUGGGCGUAAAGGGCGCGUAGGCGGCCACCGCAAGUCGACUGUGAAAUCUCCGGGCUUAACCCGGAAAGGUCAGCCGAUACUGCGGGGCUAGAGUGCAGAAGGGGCAACUGGAAUUCUCGGUGUAGCGGUGAAAUGCGUAGAUAUCGAGAGGAACACCUGCGGCGAAGGCGGGUUGCUGGGCUGACACUGACGCUGAGGCGCGAAAGCUAGGGGAGCGAACGGGAUUAGAUACCCCGGUAGUCCUAGCCUUAAACGAUGAAUGCUUGGUGUCUGGGGUUUUAUAGUCCCCGGGUGCCGUCGCUAACGCUUUAAGCAUUCCGCCUGGGGAGUACGGUCGCAAGACUGAAACUCAAAGGAAUUGACGGGGACCCGCACAAGCGGUGGAGCAUGUGGUUUAAUUCGACGCAACGCGAAGAACCUUACCUGGGCUAGAAUGCCUCUGACCGGCGUAGAGAUACGCUUUCCUGGGUAAAACCAGGCAGAGUGCAAGGUGCUGCAUGGCUGUCGUCAGCUCGUGUCGUGAGAUGUUGGGUUAAGUCCCGCAACGAGCGCAACCCUUAUCAAUAGUUGCCAGCGGUUCGGCCGGGCACUCUAUUGAGACUGCCGUUGACAAAACGGAGGAAGGUGGGGAUGACGUCAAGUCCUCAUGGCCUUUAUGUCCAGGGCUACACACGUGCUACAAUGGCAAGUACAAAGCGCUGCAAAAGAGCAAUCUGGAGCCAAUCGCAAAAAGCUUGUCUCAGUUCGGAUUGGAGUCUGCAACUCGACUCCAUGAAGUUGGAAUCGCUAGUAA